CACUUUCAGUGAAUAAGUAUAGCCUUAAGUUUAUUAUAUAUUAAAAUCAUAUGCUGGUAAUUAGAUAUAAAAUUAUGAAGCAAGAAAAAAAAGUUAAUUUUUUAUUACUAUGUUUUUUAUAUCAUAAUAUUAAAUAUAUUUGGAUUAUAUUUUUGAUUCAUUUAAUAUAUACACCAAUUUCCAUGAGUGCAAGAAUUCAAUUCUCUGGAGACCUUACAUGCAUGAAGAUUGCACAGAUGGAGUUUGAGAAACUUUAAAAAUAAUAGAUUAUGUUUAGGUGUAUAUGUUGAUAAGUAAAUUUCUGCUAUUUUGCAUGCAUA
RNAcentral lists this long non-coding RNA (320 nucleotides) under Androctonus crassicauda. Lineage: Eukaryota; Metazoa; Arthropoda; Arachnida; Scorpiones; Buthidae. The record is from RNAcentral.